Molecule: ribosomal RNA, 468 nt
Filed under: uncultured bacterium
Lineage: Bacteria
Description: partial 16S ribosomal RNA
Rfam family: Bacterial small subunit ribosomal RNA
Source: RNAcentral
GACGAACGCUGGCGGCGUGCUUAACACAUGCAAGUCGAACGGAAAGGCCCUGCCUUUGUGGGGUGCUCGAGUGGCGAACGGGUGAGUAACACGUGAGUAACCUGCCCUUGACUUUGGGAUAACUUCAGGAAACUGGGGCUAAUACCGGAUAGGAGCUCCUGCUGCAUGGUGGGGGUUGGAAAGUUUCGGCGGUUGGGGAUGGACUCGCGGCUUAUCAGCUUGUUGGUGGGGUAGUGGCUUACCAAGGCUUUGACGGGUAGCCGGCCUGAGAGGGUGACCGGCCACAUUGGGACUGAGAUACGGCCCAGACUCGUACGGGAGGCAGCAGGGGGGAAUAUUGCACAAUGGGCGGAAGCCUGAUGCAGCAACGCCGCGUGCGGGAUGACGGCCUUCGGGUUGUAAACCGCUUUCGCCUGUGACGAAGCGUGAGUGACGGUAAUGGGUAAAGAAGCACCGGCUAACUACGUG